CGUAGGGUGCAAGCGUUGUCCGGAUUAUUGGGUUUAAAGGGUGCGUAGGCGGCCUGUAAGUCAGUGGUGAAAUACUCCAGCUUAACUGGAGGGGUGCCAUUGAUACUGCAGGGCUUGAGUUAAGUUGAAGUUGGCGGAAUUGACGGUGUAGCGGUGAAAUGCUUAGAUAUCGUCAAGAACACCGAUAGUGAAGACAGCUAACUAAACUUUUACUGACGCUGAGGCACGAAAGUGUGGGGAUCAAACAGGAUUAGAUACCCUGGUAGUCCACACUGUAAACGUUGAUUACUCGCUGUGUGCGAUAUACAGUACGCGGCCAAGCGAAAGCGAUAAGUAAUCCACCUGGGGAGUACGCCGGCAACGGUG
RNAcentral lists this ribosomal RNA (366 nucleotides) under uncultured organism. Its description in RNAcentral is "bacterial SSU rRNA". It matches the Rfam family "Bacterial small subunit ribosomal RNA", at positions 526 to 896 of the family's 1533-position model. The record is from RNAcentral.